GGGAUUGAGGUUUAGUUUGCUUUGUUAAGAGUUUAGUUUAAGUCAUUGUCCAUUUUGUUCUUCCUUUCUAAUGUUAACUUACCCCUCUUUUGGUUCCCCUUUGUCUCAUUGCGUUGGGUCUGUUUUAAUUCAUUUAUAUUUUCUCCUAGACUUAUUUCUAAUAGCUUUGUUGACUAAUGUCUAGUAAUAUAUUCUACAUUGAUUUCACUACUCUUACUUACUCAUUUGUAAAGAGUACAACGCCUGCUAAUGCUGCAAGCUUAGUUGUCCCUUUUUUUUUUUUUCUUUUUUUGAAGACUUUAAUCUUAUUUCAAGAAACUUAUUUACCUAUUAAAAGCAAUUAGUGUAAGUGCAGUAAUCAGGUAUGGCAAUAAAUAUCUCUACACCCAUGCACUUUGAAUCCACUCAUAUUUUUUAGAAGCUUUUGCAUGGUGUAUUUGCAUUUCCGUAGGUGUUAAAAACAUAAAUAUUAGACUGCUAACAGGCUUAGUGUAGCACCUCUGUAUUUGAAGACCCUGCUCCCUCCUGGAUAAAUGCCGUGCUGCUCCAUUAAGGGGUCCUCUGAUCCAAACAGAGGAGUUCAGGUGUGUCAGGAAGUAGGAGUAUGAGGGGCAGCGAGUUUGUCUGCAGAUUUAGUGCAUCACUUCCUACUCUGUGUUUUUCUGGUCAGUCUUCCAUGUUUCCCUGACCCACAGUCAUGAGGUUUCUGGGUAGUGACCGAAAGAGCGAGAUGGUGAAUACAAGGAACAGAGAGUGUAGGCCUCUCUUUGCGUGACAGGGUGAGGGAUUUAGUGAUCCAAAAGGACCUUGUAAUGUUUGCUGCUCCUUCACUUUGGCAGGAACUGCUAUGGAAGUUCAGGCUGCACCCGAGGGCACUGCCAUAUGGAAAGGUAGAGAAAAUGAUUUUUUUUCUCCUCAUACAAAAAGAAAGUCUUUCGUUUUUCCUUGUUCUUACUCCCUCUGAUUUAAAACCCUUGUGAGGAGGUUUGGGCUGGCUGUGAAACGGAUUGAAAUCAACAGCGAUGCCUUUUUAUGCCUUACAAAAGUAAACAACCAUCAGCUUCAAGAUUGACUAUCUCUAAAUAGUUAUUUCUAAUUCCUGACCAGAGGAUUGGAAGCACACUGAAGAAACUCUUUCCUCACAACUCAUAAUGAGUGUUAUUGACUGUAUAAGAAAACAGCAGUUCAUUACAGAAGCUUCAAGUCCAUCAUUUUGAAGAAUAUGUCUCUUUAAUCAGAGACAAAUGAUAGUGAAAGUUACAUUUCAUAGAUUGUAAACCAUCAAUUAUAUUUUGUACAAUUGCCCUUAGUUUGUGGUAAAACAUCUUAAAUUGACUAAAGUUCCUUGGUUGUCACCUUCAGCUGAUUUGAAAACUUCUGUCAAAAUACGACACCUUGAAAAAAGUGAAGAAAAGACAAAGCCCUUUCAUCAAACUGUGAACACACAAAGGUUUCUGCUAAGUUUAUGGCCUUUUAUCACACAAAGGUUUGACAGAGAGGCACAUGCAACAAAAGGCUCUGAUUAUGUUUAUUUAACUCAUUUGCCAUGGUAUUCAGAGGUUGUUUGAAUUUCCUCAAUAUGAAUUGAGGGGAAAAGGUAUGUUUAAAAAAGAUAAAAUAAGAACAAAUAUAAAGUACAAGUGUGUUUAAUUAAUGGAACAACUGUGAAAAUGAUUUGAAAGUGUGCGGUUUACUCAUUUAAAAAUAUGUUUGAAACCAAAAUACUAAAAAUAUUAGACAGGUCUGGACAAAAGUGUUUGUAAAAAUACUGAAACUUUUGGCUGUGUUAACUUGGAUUGUUCUCAUGAAAUUGUACAAGGUUUGUUGGGCUGUUUUAAAGUAUGUUCUGUCUGUUUUAAAGCCCUGGAGGCUGCCUCGCUUAAGUCGGUGUUUGUUUGUUGUUGUUUUUUUUCCCAUGAAAAGAUGUAGGAUAAAAUAAGCUGUAGCUUCAGCCUAUACACUUUUUCGAUUUGCUUCACUUCUUCCUCUCUUUUAUGAUGUGAAUUCUAUUUGUUAAAUAAAAAGCAAAUCUAAUGAAUGUAAAAUAAAAUGGACCGAAAAGAAAAAGUAUUUCUGUUUUUUUUUCUACUUUUAAUAGGAUCUGUAAUCAUCACAGUACAACAAAGAAAGCCCUGGCAUAACACAGUCCCUCUAAGUUGCCAUAUUACAAUUCAUCAGCCUAAACUAAACACUUCCUUUUUUUUUUUGGCUAUCCUGACAUAUGGCCAAUCUUGUUAAGUUGCCAAAAAAUCAAAUAAAAAUAGGUGCUAAAUGUAAGCUACUUUUCAUUUCAUUGACCAUUUGAGGGGCUAGCUUAUUAUGGUGGUGGUAGCUACCUCAAAUGUGAUGCUGUUUCUUCUGACUCCAGCUAGACGGUUUUCUGAAACCAUACAAUAAUUCAUACAUCAAUUGUCAAAUAUUUUGAAAACCAUUGCAGUUGAUAGCCAACUAUACCUCUUUUCAUGCCAUUGCAUUAGUGUUUUUACAAGCUUUUUUGUUAUUUUAUUCUACAGAAAAAUGCAACGUUCACCAUCUGAUGUGUGGAAGCAUUUUACACAAGCUAAUGUUGAAGGAAAAAUAUUUACAUUUAUGUUAGGAUAUGAUACAGCUUGUUCAAAUUACCCACAAUUUCCAGUUAAUUCCCAUAAAUUCCCAUACCUCUCAGGGGAAGUUUACCAUUUGGUAUAUUUUCAAAAUUCCCAGGCUUAACUUCACAUAGAAAGUUUCUGGAAAUGUACUGGUAAUUUACCAGAAAUUUUCCACUCUUUUGCAACCCUAAUCUAAGAGCACCUGGAGCAUCACCACCACCAAAGGUGAUCUUCCUGCUGGUGAGGUCCGGUCCAGAACCCAAGCAAGACGGAGGCCCCAGUUCUCCGAAGCCGGGCCCGAUGAUCAGGUGGACUGGCCCUGGUGGCUAGCAUGGGUCCUGUCCUUCAGCCUUUCCUGAGGCCCCGGCUCUCCCUAGCCAGGCCCAAAUAGUAGUAUCAAUAUUAAACUUUUCAAUUUGGCCACCAGACCUUUUUCCACAUCAUGGAAUUAACUUCUUUGCCAUUCAAAAGAAGGAUCACCCCAGGGUUGAAAAUGUUUAUGGCUGUGCCGUUCUAACAAGAGCUGCAGUCUGAAGGUUUCUCUUUCAUGAGUCUGGAGACCUAAUACAGUUGAUUCAUGACGAGUACAAUGUUUACUGUUAUUGUUUAAUCUUGUCGAAAACUGUUAAUUGUUCAUCUAGCCACUUCCUGGUGCCUUGUGUAAAGUCUAUUGACCAAACAGUGGCAUUGCUCCUGACUUUUCACAAACCAGAGGCUCGGUGACCAAACUGCUCUUAAAUAAAAAGUGUUUUCAGGGUGAAGAGUUCAUCUAUUUGGAAACUAAAUCAGCCCAAAUGUGACAAAAAAAUCUGUUGAUUUUUCUUUCCCCUGCAAAUAGUAUCACAGUGUUCUAAUGCAGUGUGGAAGGCAGUUUACUUCAGUUUCAUUCAAGAAAUUUUCAUUUUUCUUUUUUUUUCCCUUGGCAUCUUGACAUGGAAAUUGACUGAAAGUGAUGACAGAAGACAAACAGCUUUCCCAGUCAACAGAUGGCUUUUUGAGUGUUUGUCCAUUCACCCACAAUUGAUGCCUCAAGUGUCACACAAAUGAAACUUCACAACAGAGUCACUGGCAUUGCUGCUUUAGAAAAUUACUGCAAAAUCCUUUAGCAAUUUUCACAGGAAAAAUCUUGAAAGCCAUGGAGGAACUGAUUACUGAAACUGCAGUUUGGGGUCAAUCUGAACCUUAAUGAUGACAUAGGCAUAAAAAGUUAUGGAACUGAGCUUAUAGUGUUGCAUUCCAGCUACCUCGGAAGUUGAAUGUCAGAGCUGGGAAUGAUGUUACACCCGAGUUGAUGGUGUCCGACUACAGUUACCCGUUGUUAGCUGUUGUUUACAAUUGUCAGCUGUCGUUAGCUGUUGUUGGUUGUUGUUAGCUAUACCAGUUGUAAACAUAUAACACAGUAUUUUACUCGUACAAACACCGUAGCACCGUGUUCACAGUUAGACAUUGGGCAGUACAACAUAUACCACUUAUUUAAUAUCACAAAAACAAAAACGAAGUGCUAAUAAAUAAUACAUUGCGAGAGCUUUCACUGUUACUCUUUACUGUUGAUGCACAGAGCUGCUAUCUUGGAUUAUGAUGUUGUCGUCAAGUCGGGGUUGGUGAGGAUCAUACGACUUUCCGAGUUGGAAAUCUGACUUCAGGGGGGCGUUCCAAAUGAAUUUCCGACUUGGAGCUCGGAAAUUCCAACUUCUGAGUACAACUGGAAUGCAGCAUAAGUGACACACUUUGUGUAAAAGAUACAAAAGAAAACAUUUCGUAACUCUUUGUUAAAGACUUUUGAGCAGUUUUGCGAUCUCAGCAUAAAAUGGCAGCAAAACUGAGGCAUUAACUCACAAGAACCCUACAACACUGCAUCUACACCUUACAUCACUCCAUCACUUGCAUCCCUGCAACAUUAAAGAGUCAUUUCUGAUCUCACCAUCAGUCUCAAAAGAGUGACUGAGUUCUUACCGAGCUGCUGAUGAUAUAUGACUCACCAUGCUAAAGUAGCUGCACCACUGUUUCAUAUAUAUGAUUCAUAUCCCAACAGGCCCAACAGAACAAUUCAGCUGCCGGAAAUUGGUUGAAGAAUACAAAGCAGCAUUGGUACAUUAUUCCAUCUUUAUAUUUUUUUUUCAAGAAUGUUUGAAGAAUAAGUUUUCUGUAUAAAAUAAGUAACAGAAAAGGUGAUGAAAACCAUAGCUUAAAAGGAUUCAAGUUAUUCAAAAUAUGCAGCCCUGAUGUGUUGAGCAAUGGUGGCACAAAGAAACAUAGAAGAAGUUGCAAUCUUCAUAUUAUGCUGUUUGCAACCUCACUGGACCAAAGGCGGUUGAGGACAAACAACUUCACUAUACAGACUUUCAACACCUACAUCACAUCUAAAUUUGUAUUUAAUCAUUAUUUCUUUAGUGAGUUGAGAAUAAAUCCACAGAGGGUGUUUAACAGUCUACAAAAAGCACCAUUUUAUUGCAAUGAGGCCACUCCACGAUGUGACAGCAUGGCAGGAAAUUUCUCUUAACUAGAUGUUUCAGAAGCUAACCUCCAAAUUGAAGAAAUGGAAAAACGUAACAAACCAGGCGGCAGUGCUGUAGUACUCGAGUUGUACUCGAAGUCUGAUAUUCAGGACUUGUGACUCAAUUCAGCAUUGAACACUGGUGAUUUUGACUUUGACUGCACUGACCCCAGAAGGUGGAGAGCAAAACUCAAGCUUGUUAGUCUUUUUUACUUUAAAGGGGUGCUCACACCAAAUGCAAGUAAAAUCAUCGUGUAUCUAGAUGCGUGAAUAAAUAGUAUUAACUCACUUCAUUUGCGCGUCCACGGUAAUUUCAAUGGUAAGCCCUGCCAAUUCAACCGGCUGAAUCAAGUGAUGGAUAAAGGUUUUUUACAACUCACCAGGUAAUCCGACCUCCUCACUUGCCUCCAGGUGAGCUCCUUUUUAUUCCAGUUUCAGUAAUUGAAAGAAAAGGUAUCAUAUAAUUCGAGGCACCAACACACUGACACAAUCAGUUUGUCGUCCAUUUUAGAUACCAGUGAACAACCGUCCAUUUUCAUACGUCAUCCUGCAACCUUUGUGCUGAUUAGUUAUCACGAUGCAAAUAUCUGCUUAAGUUGAGACAUUUUCAGCUCCUGCCCAAUUUGUAUCAAUCGUGCCGCCAGAGUAGUAGGAGUGCCUAAUCACGUCUUUGCAUUGAUUUAACAUGUAAUUCAUUUGCGUGAAUGAUUUUACUCGCUCUUGGUGUGUGGAGACAGUAAGACGCCAAUAAUUUAUUCGGUUUUAAACUCUACCUGACCUUAUGGAGACUCAGUUUGGGCUUAAUAAGUUCUUCUUUGGUGACUCAGACUUAAUUCAGGCUUUAAAACUGAGCACUGUAUUCUCAACUUGAGAUUUGAGGACUCAGCUACAACACCAAUCAAUGUUUUCUGUUUGCAAAAAUGCAGGUUUGCAUGCAUGCACAGCACAAAAAGCACAACAGAUAAAACCACUUCAGAGCAUUACAUUUCCUCUAACCCACCUUCAUCUUCUCCAGUAUAGACAUGUGUGCAUGCACACCUGAAGACCUUAGAAGAUGAUGAAGUCCCUAGCCUCAGUCUAUCCUGAUGCAUGUUCUUUGAAGUGUAAUUCUCUGUAAUGUAAAAUGCAUGAAAGAGUUUGUUGAUUGAAAUGUUUUGUGAGAAUCCUGAUAGAGAGGGACAAUGAAAUAUAAAUGAACUCCAGAUAAAGUCUCAUCAUAGUGUAAACCCUUCCCAUAUUAUGAAAUCUGAAGAUGAGAAUGAUCUGCUGAUACACAGUAUAUGUUCUGAAAUAGUUUGAAAGUCGCUCUUUUUCUUUUCAUUUAGGUGGUUAAAUAGGGUAGAAAUGGCAUUUGAUCCAAAUACUGUAUCAUGGAUGCAUUUUUUUUCUAUAAAAGGGAGUCAAAAGUUCAGCUUUUGUUUGAAAAUCCUUCCAGAGUUACAAACGCAAUAUUAUGAUGCAUAAACUUUCUCUCCGCCAUGAAACUGUAUUCAUUAUUGCAGAUCCUUGACUCCUACUACGCUGCAUAAAACCAGGCUUGAAAUGUUAUAUUUAAAAGUUAACCUGCUGAUCCUGCUCAAUGCAAAAUACAUGCGGGCGGAAAGACUCCCAUUUUAACUAAAAAUGAAGGAAAAGCAUGCGUCUCUUUCUUCUCUCUGGGAGGGCAGAGCCACAGUCAGUAGAAUCAUCAUCCAUUUUUAUCACAGUACUAUCAGGAUAAUAAAAACAGGCUUUUUAAUGCUCACUUGAAAGGCUGCAGUUUUCAUCUUAGCUUGUUUUAGAAACACAAUCACACAAGUUUCCAAAACAAAAAAGGUAGCAAAUUCAGUUACUGACUAAAAAAGUUUAACCCUGAUUAAUCAUGUCCACAUUCAGACUAAUUUUACCCAAUUGUCUUGUGUGGAGGAAUCUGUUACGGAGCCAGACCAGGGAGGCUGUGAUAAAGCUGGAGGGUUCUUUUACACAGGUCUGCAAGCUUCAUUAAAAAGAUCAAUGUCCAAGGAAAAGCUCAUUAUUUGUUGCUGAAUCAGGUAAUAAACUUAGAUUGACCGAUGAGUUUUAAGAAAGGGUACUUGUUAGGUGGUUUGACAUUUAGCAGGACAGCAGGCUUUUCUUGCCUCUGUUGUUAUGAGAAACUGAACCAGGAAUCUAGCUUCUCAAGGUUACUUAAUGCUAUAACUUCAUUUGUCAGCUCUAAUAGAAGACAUAUAAUUAUGUCCCCAGGUUACACUGCAGUAACUCAGCCAAACUAUAACACUCCAACCAUCUCAGGAAACAUGAUGUGAAUAGCAGAGGUGCUUUCUGCAGCUGGCCUUGUGAUAGGGAACACUGUCAUCUAUUGUUAAAGUCAUAUGCCAUUCCUGAUACCCACCACAGGACUGAACAUUGACCAACCAAACCCUGUGAUAAAUAUAUGGACACUUAAACCAGGGUGAUGGUAAUUCUUUGAUUGAUGUUUUUGUACUGCCUUUGUUCAUAAAGAUGAUACGAAUGAACUUCUAUUGCUGCAUUGUUGACAUACACUAGCAGGGAAUCGCCUUGCUGAUUGGCUAUUGUGGCAGAUACCUUCGCCAUCAAUUCAUGGGAAAGAAGCGAGUAAUGACAUUUGCGUAAAUGAUCAGCUCUUCACUAUUCAUACUGCCUCAUGCACGC
Xyrichtys novacula (pearly razorfish) is the source of this 7734-nucleotide non-coding RNA. NCBI's taxonomy places the organism in Eukaryota, Metazoa, Chordata, Actinopteri, Labriformes, Labridae. The record is from the annotation of a GenBank genome assembly.